This 118-nucleotide ribosomal RNA is filed under the name Cladosporium pseudocladosporioides. RNAcentral describes it as "partial 18S ribosomal RNA". It matches the Rfam family "Eukaryotic small subunit ribosomal RNA", at positions 1715 to 1830 of the family's 1831-position model. RNAcentral also lists the same sequence under 1 other name. Lineage: Eukaryota; Fungi; Ascomycota; Dothideomycetes; Cladosporiales; Cladosporiaceae. The record is from RNAcentral.
CUGGCCCAGGGAGGUCGGCAACGACCACCCAGGGCCGGAAAGUUGGUCAAACCCGGUCAUUUAGAGGAAGUAAAAGUCGUAACAAGGUCUCCGUAGGUGAACCUGCGGAGGGAUCAUU